GUUUGAUUAUGGCUCAGGAUGAACGCUGGCGGCAUGCCUAAUACAUGCAAGUCGAACGGAGUGAAGCCUUCGGGUUUCAUUCAGUGGCGAACGGGUGAGUAAUACGCAGGGAACCUGGCCAUGGCAGGGGGAUACACUCUGGAAACGGAGCAUAAGACCCCAUAGGCAGUAAGGCGGCAUCGCCUUACUGUUAAAGAAAGCUGAAAGGCUUUGGCGAUGGAUGGACCUGCGGUGCAUUAGCUUGUUGGUGAGGCAACGGCUUACCAAGGCGAUGAUGCAUAGCCGGCCUGAGAGGGCGGACGGCCACACUGGGACUGAGACACGGCCCAGACUCCUGCGGGAGGCAGCAGUAGGGAAUUUUCGUCAAUGGGCGCAAGCCUGAACGAGCAAUGCCGCGUGAGUGAGGAAGGUCUUCGGACUGUAAAGCUCUGUUGCCGGGGAAAAAGGGGAAAUGCAGGAAAUGGCAUUUCAUGGAUGGUACCCGGCCAGAAAGCCACGGCUAACUACGUGCCAGCAGCCGCGGUAAUACGUAGGUGGCGAGCGUUAUCCGGAAUGAUUGGGCGUAAAGGGUGCGCAGGCGGUCUGUUAAGUCUGAAGGCAAAGGGAUGAGCUCAACUCAUUUAUGAUUCAGAAACUGGCAGACUUGAGGACAGGAGAGGGCGGUGGAACUCCAUGUGUAGCGGUAAAAUGCGCAGAGAUAUGGAAGAACACCAGUGGCGAAGGCGGCCGCCUGGCCUGUGACUGACGCUGAGGCACGAAAGCGUGGGGAGCAAAUAGGAUUAGAUACCCUAGUAGUCCACGCCGUAAACGAUGAGGAGCAGGUGUUGGGAGUGAAAUCUCAGUGCCGAAGCCAACGCAGUGACUCCUCCGCCUGGGGAGUAUGCACGCAAGUGUGAAACUCAAAGGAAUUGACGGGGGCCCGCACAAGCGGUGGAGUAUGUGGUUUAAUUCGAAGCAACGCGAAGAACCUUACCAGGUUUUGACAUCGGAUGCGAAGGCGCAGAGAUGCGCUGGAGGCUAUCAUCCAGACAGGUGGUGCAUGGUUGUCGUCAGCUCGUGUCGUGAGAUGUUCAGUUAAGUCUGGCAACGAGCGCAACCCCCGUGGUAUGUUACUAACGCUUUAGGGCGAGGACUCAUAUCAGACUGCCGGUGACAAACCGGAGGAAGGCGGGGAUGACGUCAAAUCAUCAUGCCCCUUAUGACCUGGGCUACACACGUACUACAAUGGCGUCUACAGAGGGAAGCGACCCUGAGAAGGGAAGCGAAACCGGAAAAGGGCGUCCCAGUUCGGAUUGAAGUCUGCAACCCGACUUCAUGAAGAUGGAAUCGCUAGUAAUCGCGGAUCAGCAUGCCGCGGUGAAUACGUUCCCGGGCCUUGUACACACCGCCCGUCAAACCAUGGAAGCCGGCAACGCCCGAAGCCGGUGGCAUAACCUUUUAGGAGUGAGCCGUCGAAGGCGGGACCGAUGACUGGGGUUAAGUCGUAACAAGGUACCC
Molecule: ribosomal RNA, 1497 nt
Filed under: uncultured bacterium
Lineage: Bacteria
Description: 16S ribosomal RNA
Rfam family: Bacterial small subunit ribosomal RNA
Source: RNAcentral